Molecule: ribosomal RNA, 253 nt
Filed under: uncultured bacterium
Lineage: Bacteria
Description: partial 16S ribosomal RNA
Rfam family: Bacterial small subunit ribosomal RNA
Source: RNAcentral
UACGUAGGGCGCAAGCGUUGUCCGGAUUUAUUGGGCGUAAAGAGCUCGUAGGCGGCUUGUUGCGUCGGCUGUGAAAACCCGCGGCUUAACUGCGGGCUUGCAGCCGAUACGGGCGGGCUGGAGUUCGGUAGGGGAGACUGGAACUCCUGGUGUAGCGGUGGAAUGCGCAGAUAUCAGGAAGAACACCAACGGCGAAGGCAGCUCGCUGGGACGGUACUGACGCUGAGACGCGAAAGCGUGGGGAGCGAACAGG